GGAAAAAUCUCAGUAACUUAACAAAGUUUGAAGUCACCUGCAGGUCUGAGGCACCCCUAUCAGCAUGUGCUUUCACAGGCAAAGUAGGGGGCAUAAGAGGGAGCCUUGGGGAGUUGGGCUCCAGCAAUCAAGUGCUUUUGCCUGGAAGUGACUCUCUCAAAUGACUAUACUCACAUUUCACUGACCCGAACUCCUCAUUUGGUCACACCUAAUUUCAAGAGGUAUGUGAUCCUCCCACAUAUCCAAUAUUACAGAGAGAUCAAAUAUUUAUAAAGAAUAAUAAUACCAGUCAGCAUUUCUAAGUAACCCAAUUAACCCUGUGGGACCUCCAUUCUACUGUGUGCCACCCAGUGACUAAGGCAUGUGUCUUAUUUCUGUUUCAUGUGCUAAGAUACUCCGGAAUGACUAUGGAUCCUGAUCCACUUCUUGUGUUGAACUCUUCUUCCAUCCCUGUUGCAUAGCCUCUACUGGGCUGAAUCAGAUAUACUCCGCUUCGACCAGUUGUGUUAUUACUACAUCUUCCUUGAGCCUGCAGUCCCACAGCAGAUUCCUGGUAUCUCUACCACCACUUCUUGUAACCUCACCAGCUCCCUCUGAGGACAAGGCUUAGUUUCUCCCUCAUGCUCUGCACUCCAGUGCCUCUGUAGAUGGGCAGCGUUGAACAAGAAUGAAUAAUUACUAAUAUUAUACAAACUGGACUUGAGAAAGAAUGUCUUCUAAUGUGUCUUAGGCACACCUAGAAGCACUGAGGUCUUUUCUGAUUUUCAAAGAUGUGUGCAGAUUACUCAGAAAUAUGAAUAUAUCUAUGUAUAGAUAUAUAACAUAUAUAGAGUUGUUUAGGAAUCACUGCCUUUUGUAAAAAGUUAAUAUGAUCAGUUUAAUAAUACUAUGCACAUUUAUUAUACUGCAUAAAUGCUAAGUGGUUUCUGUGAAUGCUGUGUUUUGGUACUGUUCUGGUACAGCGAAAAAAAUAUUUUUUUCUUACUUUGUUAGUUCUACAGUGUGAUGAGUAGUUUUUUGUGUCAACUGGACUAGACCACAAUACCCAGUUAUUUUUUUAAAUAUUUUAUUUUUUAAAGAUUUUAUUUAUUUAUUCAUAGAGACACAGAGAAAGAGAGAGGCAGAAACACAGGCAGAGGGAGAAGCAGGCUCUAUGCAGGGAACCUGACAUGGGACUCGAUCCCAGGGUCUCCAGGAUCACGCCCAGGGCUGCAGGCGGCGCUAAACCGCUGCGCCACCAGGGCUGCCCAAUACCCAGUUAUUUAACCAAAUGCUAGUCUGGAUGUUGCUGUGGAGGUAUUUUGUAGACGUGGUCUAUAUCUACAAUCAAUUGACUUGAUAAUGUGGGCCUCAUCCUAUCAGUUAAAGGCCUGAAGAGCAAAAACUGAGGUCUCCUAGAGAAGAAAGAAUUCUCCUUCAAGACUCCAGCAGUGGCUCUUGCCUGAGUUUCCAGCCAGCCAAUAUGGAUUUCAGACUCACCAGCCUAUGAGUAUUGCUCAUGCAGAUAAACAUCCUCCCAUUCUGUGAGAAGGUAGAAAGUGAAACCCUUUACCAUCUCUUCCUUCGGUGAUUAAUAAAUAAAUGAACUAUAAAUACAGUGGUUUGAACUUCUCAGAAUAUAAGAGAAAAAUGAGGAAGUUUCCUGUAACCAGUUAAUGGAGAAGAGAGCAUAAUGGGCAUGAUGGACGCGCAUGAUGAUCAUUAUCAGG
Molecule: long non-coding RNA, 1709 nt
Organism: Canis lupus familiaris (dog)
Lineage: Eukaryota; Metazoa; Chordata; Mammalia; Carnivora; Canidae
Exons: 3
Source: RefSeq, a predicted model, not a curated record